AACGAACGCUGGCGGUGCGCCUAACACAUGCAAGUCGAGCGCGAAAGUCCCUUCGGGGGCGAGUAGAGCGGCGGACGGGUGAGUAAUACAUGGGUAAUCUACCCCCGAGCUUGGGAUAACCCCGCGAAAGCGGGGCUAAUACCUGAUAAGACCACAUAACACAAGUUGUGCGGUAAAAGGUGGCUUGAAUUUAUUCUAGCUAUCACUUGAGGAUGAGUCCAUGGCCUAUCAGCUUGUUGGUGAGGUAAGAGCUUACCAAGGCUAUGACGGGUAGCUGGUCUGAGAGGACGACCAGCCACACUGGGACUGAGACACGGCCCAGACUCCUACGGGAGGCAGCAGUGGGGAAUAUUGGUCAAUGGGCGCAAGCCUGAACCAGCCAUCCCGCGUGAAGGAAGAAUGCGCUACGCGUUGUAAACUUCUUUUCCAGGGGGAGAAUAAUCCUGUCGUGACAGGACUUGACGGUACUCUGGGAAUAAGCAUCGGCUAACUCCGUGCC
Molecule: ribosomal RNA, 499 nt
Filed under: uncultured bacterium
Lineage: Bacteria
Description: bacterial SSU rRNA
Rfam family: Bacterial small subunit ribosomal RNA
Source: RNAcentral